GGAUGUGAGGGCGAUCUGGCUGCGACAUCUGUCACCCCAUUGAUCGCCAGGGUUGAUUCAGCUGAUCUGGCCGGCUAGGCGGGUGUCCCCUUCCUCCCUCACUGCUCCAUGUGCGUCCCUCCCGAAGCUGCGUGCUCGGUGGAAGAGGACGGCCUUCCCCGAAUAGAGACGGACAGGUCUUCGGUCGAGGGUAUACGAGUAGCUGCGCUCCCCUGCUAGAACCUCCAAACAAGCUCUCAAAUUAGAAUUGAUUCCCUGAGCUUCAAAGCUUCACCACAAACCGUCUGAGUCAAGGAAUAAGCAUUCACUCCAGAU
This 315-nucleotide small nuclear RNA is filed under the name Erinaceus europaeus (western European hedgehog). Its description in RNAcentral is "7SK RNA". It matches the Rfam family "7SK RNA". From Rfam's summary of the family: 7SK was discovered as an abundant small nuclear RNA in the mid-70s but a possible function has only recently been suggested. Two independent studies have found that 7SK RNA binds the CDK9/cyclin T complex (known as elongation factor P-TEFb). Lineage: Eukaryota; Metazoa; Chordata; Mammalia; Eulipotyphla; Erinaceidae. The record is from Rfam by way of RNAcentral.